AAACCAGUCAUAGGGCAACUCUCCUUUGGCAUAUAAUGAUAAUUUAGUAGACAAGUGAGGUAUCAUUUAUAUAUUUUAACAUAUAUACCAUCAUAUGUCAAAGGAGAGGAGCCCUAAAACUGGUUU
RNAcentral lists this microRNA precursor (126 nucleotides) under Olea europaea subsp. europaea. Lineage: Eukaryota; Viridiplantae; Streptophyta; Magnoliopsida; Lamiales; Oleaceae. The record is from RNAcentral.